GAGAGGACAACAAGAUACCAAUUGAACUGCUAAUUCAUAUUUCUGGGGUUAAAGUCCCCAGCCCCCUC
RNAcentral lists this transfer RNA (68 nucleotides) under Sphaerodactylus fantasticus. RNAcentral describes it as "tRNA-Ser". Lineage: Eukaryota; Metazoa; Chordata; Lepidosauria; Squamata; Sphaerodactylidae. The record is from RNAcentral.